Molecule: ribosomal RNA, 353 nt
Filed under: uncultured bacterium
Lineage: Bacteria
Description: bacterial SSU rRNA
Rfam family: Bacterial small subunit ribosomal RNA
Source: RNAcentral
GGACCCGCACAAGCAGUGGAGCAUGUGGUUUAAUUCGACGCAACGCGAAGAACCUUACCAGCGUUUGACAUGGAAAGUACCGGUUACAGAAUGGUAACCUUCAGUUCGGCUGGCUUUCACACAGGUGCUGCAUGGCUGUCGUCAGCUCGUGUCGUGAGAUGUUGGUUAAGUCCCGCAACGAGCGCAACCCUUAUCGUUAGUUACUAACAGUUCGGCUGAGGACUCUAGCGAAACUGCCGGUGAUAAGCCGGAGGAAGGUGGGGGAUGACGUCAAGUCCUCAUGGCCCUUACACGCUGGGCUACACACGUGCUACAAUGGUAACUACAACGGGACGCAAUACCGCGAGGUGGAG